Molecule: ribosomal RNA, 497 nt
Filed under: uncultured bacterium
Lineage: Bacteria
Description: partial 16S ribosomal RNA
Rfam family: Bacterial small subunit ribosomal RNA
Source: RNAcentral
GAUGAACGCUGGCGGCGUGCCUAAUACAUGCAAGUCGAGCGAACAGACGAGGAGCUUGCUCCUCUGACGUUAGCGGCGGACGGGUGAGUAACACGUGGAUAACCUACCUAUAAGACUGGGAUAACUUCGGGAAACCGGAGCUAAUACCGGAUAACAUGUUGAACCGCAUGGUUCAACAGUGAAAGACGGUCUUGCUGUCACUUAUAGAUGGAUCCGCGCCGCAUUAGCUAGUUGGUAAGGUAACGGCUUACCAAGGCAACGAUGCGUAGCCGACCUGAGAGUGUGAUCAGCCACACUGUAACUGAGACACGGUCCAGACUCCUACGGGAGGCAGCAGUAGGGAAUCUUCCGCAAAGGGCGAAAGCCUGACGGAACAACGCCGCGUGAGUCAUGAAGGUCUUCUGAUCGUAAAACUCUGUUAUUAGGGAAGAACAAAUGUGUAAGUAACUAUGCACGUCUUGACGGUACCUAAUCAGAAAGCCACGGCUAACUACGUG